This 321-nucleotide ribosomal RNA is filed under the name uncultured eukaryote. RNAcentral's name for it is "partial 18S ribosomal RNA". It matches the Rfam family "Eukaryotic small subunit ribosomal RNA", at positions 1470 to 1796 of the family's 1831-position model. The record is from RNAcentral.
CCCUUAGAUGUCCUGGGCCGCACGCGCGCUACACUGACAUGUUCAACAAGCCUCCUAGUUCGACAGGAUUUGGGAAAUCUUUGAACGCAUGUCGUGAUAGGGAUAGAUCAUUGCAAUUAUUGAUCUUGAACGAGGAAUUCCCAGUAAACGCGAGUCAUCAGCUCGCAUUGAUUACGUCCCUGCCCUUUGUACACACCGCCCGUCGCACCUACCGAUUGAAUGUUUCGGUGAAGAUUCCGGAUAGGACUUUUUUGAUUUAUUUCAAUUUUGUCUUAAAAGCUAUCUAAACCUCAACAUUUAGAGGAAGGUGAAGUCGUAACA